UGUAUGAAGUUGGAAUCGCUAGUAAUCGCGGAUCAGCAUGCCGCGGUGAAUACGUUCCCGGGCCUUGUACACACCGCCCGUCACACCAUGAGAGUCGGGAACACCCGAAGUCCGUAGUCUAACUUUCACGAGAGGACGCGGCCGAAGGUGGGUUCGAUAAUUGGGGUGAAGUCGUAACAAGGUAUC
Molecule: ribosomal RNA, 186 nt
Filed under: uncultured bacterium
Lineage: Bacteria
Description: partial 16S ribosomal RNA
Rfam family: Bacterial small subunit ribosomal RNA
Source: RNAcentral